Molecule: long non-coding RNA, 305 nt
Filed under: Mytilus galloprovincialis (Mediterranean mussel)
Lineage: Eukaryota; Metazoa; Mollusca; Bivalvia; Mytilida; Mytilidae
Source: RNAcentral
GGGUGAUUACAGGUGCCCCAGAAGGGUAAGCAGAUCCUGCUCCACAUGUGGCAUCUGUCGUGUUGUGUCUUUGCCGUUUGGAUAUUUGAUUUAUAAUUUGUUUUUUUUUCUUGUGAUGCCACGGUAUUCACUUUUUAACACAAUUUUUGUUGAUUGUUCUGAUAAUUUGUUCACUACUGACGAAAUCUGUCUUAUAUGUAUGUCUGUCUGUUUGUCUGUCCAAUCGUCAGUCCGACAAAUCAGUUUUCCACACUUUUUUCUUAAUACUUUGAGAUAUUAAUCUGAUCUUUAGCGUAUUGUUUUAU